UCUAAAUCAAUUCGUACCGAUUUACAAAAUAUCUUCCUAAAAUAUCUAUUUCACCAUCCAUAUCCUCACACUCGACCUUAUCUCUCCCUCUGUCAUGUUCACUCACUUUCCUUCUCAUCCAUUUACGUCCCUUUCUUCCAAUCUUUCCCACAGCUAGCUAGAUAUUUUUCCAUUCCCCUGCAUACUUAUAGCACCAUCAGACAAGGCACAAAACAAAAAACACUCAAUUCCUUUCCUACUUUACGUAGCCUGCGCUCUCUUCAUCACCCUGAGCAGCACAAAAUCUCAUCAUCAUUUUCUUUCCUCAUGACCUACACCACCAUUCUUCUUCCUCUUCCUUAGUUGCAUGAUUGCAGCACCCACACUCACCACAUGAGCCACCACCUUCACGUUUUCUUCCUCUCAAUGGCAGCACCUCACCAUCACCACCGCCCCUCCUCCUCACCAUGGCUGUUAUGUCCAGCCAAGAGGCCACCACAAUCACGUUCCUCUUCUUUCUCUCCUUGGCCACCACGAGGAGGCCAGCACCACAAGGAACACGUACAGCCCCAUUCAUCAUAUGGUAUUGUUCAAGCUUCAUCAUCCAUAUCAUGACAAGGAGACACCAUCACCAUGCCACUUUACUUCCUCAUGUGGGUACGAAGGACGAAAGCGCCUCGCGGCGAAGCUAAAGAAUAGAAGGAAGCGAGCCGACACGGGAAAACGAGGAUGUGAUUGGAUUGGAGUUGCAGUUUAGGCAGGAAAUUGGCUAAGGCGAUGGAGAAUCUUCGAAGGAGCUUAACCUUUGUGCAAGUAGAGAUGAGGACUUGAAGGACAGUGGAGUACUUGACGAGUAGAGUCUGGUUUAAGGCUAGAGCCUUGGGUUAGAGAGCUUACCAUAUUUGGUUUAAGCCUGCAUAAUGAUUUUAGAAAUUUAUAUUUGGGGUUUUGGGUACUCGCCUUGUUCAAGGCGUGUUGUAGAUUCUAUUUACUGUUGGGAGUAGGCAUUACAUGUUUUGGAAAUACAUUUGAAAAGAAAAAAAUAUAUACUCGUGUUUAUACUUCCUUUUGGAAAACAUUGCAUAUUUACUUUAAUAGGUUACUAAAGUGACCCCUGAAAUUCGGGGCGUUACAAUCUCCUUGACGGAGACCUUUAUAGGGACGAAAGGAGUCUGUCCGAUCACCAUUAAAACAAACUCUAUAACUGCAAGAGGAAACACAAUGCAUAAUAAGAGAGCACAAAUGAUCGUUUAAACCAAUCAACCGGAGAGUGUCAUGAAGAAAGGACCAACUCAAUCUAUCGUACGCUUUCUCCAAGUCCACUUUCAUAGCCAUCCAUCCCUUGGCUCUUCUAAGGUUUUUCAUAGAAUAAAACACCUCUUGAGCUAUAAUGAUGUUGUCUGAGCUAUGCCUCCCAGGAACAAAACUGCAUUGGUUAGGUGAAACCAAGUCUCCCAUAACAACUCUCAAUCUGUUAGUGAUAGCUUUGGUAACAGUUUUAUAAAUAACAUUACACAAAGAGAUGGGCCUAUAUUGAGAAAGUCUCUCCGGACUCUCAAUCUUAGGCACAAGCACAAUCAAAGUCUCAUUUACCUGGCUAAUCAGAGAAGGCUCCGCAAAGCACUUCAGGACAAAAUCCACGGUCGAGUCCCCCACAAUAUUCCAUUGAGAAUGGAAGAAAAUGGGCUGGAAGCCAUCUGGACCCGGGGCUUUUAGAGGACCCAUGCUAAAGACAACAUCUUAAAUCUCACUAGCACUAAGAUCAGCAUGGAUAAGAUCAAGAAACGCCUCGGACAAGGGGCUGAAGGUGGUGUGGCAUGCAAGCUAAGCAGUCCCUCCCUCAUCCAUGUAACUAUUCCUGUAAAAAGAAAGAGUAAGCUCCUUCAGAGCAUCAUAAUCAAUGAUUAGACUCCCAUCCUCUCCAACAAGCGCCUCUAUUUUAUUCCUCUUCCGACAAACAAGAGUAGCAGUGUGGAAGAAAGUGGUAUUAUGGUCGCCGAAUUGGAGCCAUAAGCAUCUAGACUUCUGCAUCCACAUGAGUUCCUCCUGAACCAACACAGUAUCAUAUUCCUUCCACAAUUUUCUUUGUAGGCGGUCAAGCCCCCUAUCAAAGGUCAUGCUCAGCCGAGCAUUGAUCCCCUCAAGUCUCCUCAUCAAGCGUCGUUUCCGCCUAAGAAUAUUUCCAAACACUUCAUGGUUCCAGGUGGUAAUAUCCUCCCUAAAACCUCCUGAAGAUGCCAGCCAUUCAUCACCUCUCUGCCAAGCGCUCUCCACUACCCUGGGGAAAUCAUCAUGGGUCAACCAACAAGCAAGGAAUCUGAAAGGUCGCACAAAAUCACGCUGCUCAAUCACCCCAGCAGCCGCCAUAAGGAUAGGCUUGUGGUCAGAUUUAAGCUGAGGAAGAGGGAUGAUGGUAGACUCAGGGAAGCAAUGGAGUCAACGAGUGUUACACACUCCCCUGUCAAGCCGCUCCUUAACCCCACGACCCUCCCAGGUAAAGGGGGGCCCUUUAUACCCCAUGUCAGAUAAACCACAAGCUGUAAGACAGGCCUGAAAACGCUGCAUACUUGGCACAUUAGGACCAUUCCCACCCGCCUUGUCAAUGGCUUCCAGAUAAGCAUUAAAGUCCCCCAGGGCAAGCCAAGGAACAUCAUGAUCGGGCAAAAGAGACGGGAGACUAUCCCACAUAACUGAUCUCGAGGAAGCUUGAGGGAUAUCAUAGACAAAGGUUACAAGAGCCUCCUGAGAAGUUCCUACAACACGAAUCCUGGUGUGCACAUACUGACGAUGAGAAGUUAUAAUCUGGAUAUCCAAGACCAACGUAUCCCAAAGCAGCCAAAUACCACCAGAGAAGCCCACAACCUCCUCUAUAUGCACACCCUGAAAAUCCAAUCCUCUAAUGAUCGACAACGCUCUGGCGCCACUAACUCUGGGCUCUAAGAUUGCAAGACAAGACAUAGAAUGUCUGUGAACAAGGUCCCUUAACAUAAGAGACACCCCUCUAGCUGCCGCACCUCUAAUAUUUUAGCUAACUAUAUUCAUAACAAACAUCAAAGAGAGGUGGACAAACGAACCAAACAACAUUAAGUUUCCCUGGAAGAGGCAACAUGAGAUAAACUCCUUUCCCUCUCCCUUCUGAACAUGUCAUUACACUUCCCACCCUUAGCCAUGGGGGAUUUUUUCUAGAAAUUAUCCUGGUGCAAGAUCCCUCAUAGAGUUACUGUAUGCUUAUCAUUGGGGGUUCCACCCUUUGCAUGCAUCCAUGUAUCCUUCCCACGUGCCAUAUUCUUCGUAGUGUGCACACUUCUACUCUCUCCCUUGUUAUGGUGUGUAACACCCCGAUUUCGGUGGCGUCACUUUAGUAACCAAAAAGAAAAUAAAGCGGAAAAACGUGAAUAUUUUUUUUGUUUUGUUUAAAUAAAUAAAAGACUUGUCGAAAUAAAGACUCAACAACGAAAGAUAAAUAUAACUAAUUUACAAAUAUAUUUACAGCCCCCGCUGUAAGUAGCAAGCCACGUCACGAGUAACCUCCAGUGACGGGAAAGUAACAGAAAGUAACGAAAGUAGUGCCCGUGGGCGAAUAUGUACAAACCAGAGUAAAAGGUCAAGUAUUCGGAAUACAGUCCUCCAAACGAAAGUAGGUCAGCCCAAAACGGCCUAAACAAGACCACCUAGUCCGACCAACUCUCUGUGAUUCCCAUAAAGAGAACCACACAAAAAGGUAAAGGUCGGGGACCUACCAGCCCCAAAAUGAGAAACUGACGACCAGAGCUGUAACACUACUCCUACCCUAAUCCUGCCCAGAGAAGCGCACCACAGCACUCCUCAAACUACAUGCUGGCGUGGUCGUCGCUUGAAUCAGAAUGCAGGGCGACUCGGUCACUGACUGCGUCCAUCUCCUCUCUCGCUACUGCCUGAGCCUCAAACCUCGGAACUCCCAUCACCGCAUCCACUACGCGGACGGACACGUCCUCCUCCAUCAGGUGCACCGAAGGCACAACAAGAUAACCACGGGGAGAAGUCGAUGCCGUCAAGCGAAAGGUGGCUACAACAACACGUUCCUCUGCUGGUCUCGCGGUUCCAGAACCCGAUCCCAUAUCAUCAGCGACAGCAACGGUGGGUGAGCUAGAUUCCGAUGAAGUCCCUCCCACAGGCUCCUCCUCCGAGGGGUCCUCGUCGUCAAAAGGCGACAAUGGUGGUGGUGCUACUACACCAGGUUUGCAGUGCACACCAGGUGGUAGGUUAAAGCUGACAGUGUAACGUCUCAGUACUCCCUGCGUCAAGUUUCCCAAACUGUAGACGCGGUCCUCCAUUAUUCUCCCCGAAUACAUAGCUCGGUGGCCGGAGGGGUCGACCACCCAAGAGCUGGGGGUGUCCUGAUCAAGCAUCUCAAAUCUAGUCCCCCCCGAAGGGUGGACCAUCUCGAACCAGUCCGCCAUGGACAUCUGACCAAAGGUGUAGUCCGCCCAAACACAAACAGAAAGCGCGAGGGUCAACUCAAUGAAUUAAAUAAAUAAUACACCCAGAAGAUAAAGUUUAUGGAAUAGCUACUUAGGCUUAGAGAUUUAUAAUAACAUUAUAAGUUGUAUAUUUUCCAAUUGAGUAAAGAUGACAAUUAACAAUUAUCAAGUAAGAUUAACAAGUAUCAAUCGCACUCGGCAACUAAACUAAGUCGGUAUGCAUGGGGCAUGAAUGAUAUGACGAGGAACAAGAUGCAAUCCGGAAGGAUGGGCACCAACGAGUCAAUCCUAGCACUGGCCAUAGUGGGACCAUUUCUGCUCGGGCGUCUCUUAUACCAAACAAAAUGUAGUCAGAUCAGCAGUAUACCCGCAGGCCUGCCAUUUCCGCCUGCUACUAAGAAUCACCGCAGUGUUUUUAUGUGGAAAUCCGGGUCUUAUGACCAUUUUGGAAUCCACCGAGGUCCGGCAUCCCACCGUGUAUAAACCCCAGAAAUGUGUGCUUGAAUGCAACGUGAUUAGCCAAACAAUGUCUCUGACCUCACUCGUCACGUCGUCACGUGUUCUAGCUAACUUAUUGUCUCUAAAACGAAUAUCCUAAGGUAAAUGUCGAUUCUGCGACAAAAGACAAUUAAUUAUAAAAAGAGUGCAAUCACUCGUGAUGACUUCUCGAGUCAUCCGACUCAUCUAAUUCUGAUGGUCAAAACUGCUCAGCGAGCAAAGAGUACCAAUGUACUUAGAACUUGUAGUCCCCCGGCUUAUCAUUUAGAUAGCCAAACAAAUAAACUCCUCAUCGAGCAAAAGAGUAUCAGCAUACUCGGAAACUUAUCAGUUUCCCGGCAUAUCUUUUAGAUAGUCAACCAACAAAACUGCUCAUCGAGCAAAAGAGUAUUAACAUACUCAGAAACUUAUUAGUUUCCCCAAAACUUGGAUUCGACGACACUUCUCAUUUUCCAAAACUAAUAUCCAAACCCUAAGCUUCCAUCUGAGGUUGUUAUCAUUAUUUAAAGGGUUCAGAGGUUGUUUAAUGUAUUAUGAGUUUUCCUUGUAAAAUAGUUUUCAUUUAGUUUUAUCUCUAAUCUUAUGAGUUUAAAAGAUCCCAACAUCCCAAGUAAUUCCCAGAGAAGGUCUCGAUCCACUAAAAUGAUAAUAAGGGCCCAAACCUCGGUUCGUCCCGUCAAACUCUCCCAAAAUCUCAUGAUGUGUAUGGCACAAUCGCCCGUGUUUCUCACUCUGACGUAUCACAGAUAUAUAUACAAUUGCAUACCCAAAUGGCACAAUCAAACAGUUAUGGUACAUGUAUCAACACAUCCUAGAUUAACCAUUUAGCACAAAGCAUGUGAAUCAGUUAACAAACAUUUAAAGCGAUAAAUAAUCAACAUGUCGGCUGAAGCCUCAGAAAACGGAGACACGCGUCUCAAUUAGUUCACUUGGCCGAAGCCUCUAGAAAACAUUUCCCAGUCAAUCACAAUCAAGUGCAUAAACAAUAAAUCAAGUCAAAUUCGUCGACACCUAAAGCAUUAGCUAGUAUUCAGUGAGUAGCCCUCAACUCUAGUUCCUCCAGCGCGUUCCUGAAGCGUUCCUUCACAAUCUUCUCCUUCCGCUCCACAGAAAUCCUCAAACGAACCUUAGAGCGAAGUCACAGAAUUAAAUCACAACAAGUAAGAAACUUAGCAAACAAUAAUUACUAACGUUAUACGAAGCAUUAUAAACUUUAGGGUACGAUAACCUAACGCGAUAAGACGAGUUUUCGAAAAGAGAAAUUUUCCUCCCCCCCUUAGGGAGCUCUAGGCCACAACACAUCAAAAUAUGUUCUGGCACUUUUUCUUCGAUCAAACUUGGUUCCUAGGUUAUCAUUAGUCGUAACUAAGGCGAAUUAAAGCUCGGAAAAAUUAUCGGAUCGAAAACUGAAGCAGGGGUAUUUUGAUCAGUGUUUUUAGCUCGGAAAUUCAAAAUUGGAAUUUCGAAAAACAAAUUGGAUGGGGACGUCACCAACGACGUUUAUGACAACUAAUCCUACUGGUACUAAGCUCAGUCGAGAGUUUUAAGUCAAAAGAGCGAAACUUUAGCCGAAAAAUGGGUAUUUGAGCAAAACCGCAACUCGGCGACGAUUCGGCGAGAAUCGGCGAAAUGUAAUCCGCUAGAAGUACUCUUGGGUUAGUAGAGAAUAUGUUUAGACACUAAAAUCAAGUUAUUUUGACAGUUUUACAAAAAGCUCGAAACUUUGAGCAUAGAAAGACAUAGAGAAAAACGACAGAAUUGACGAUCAGAAGUAUGCAAUAGCAUCUAUACCUCGAGGUCUACGCGUAGAAACUGUCAGUGCAACGAUCCGGCAAGAAACAGCGAAAAUAUCUUCUCCUCCUUCCUCCUUGGUGCUCGCGGGUUUGGGUGAGAAUGGUGAUGAAAAAUUUGAUUUUUCAUGCUAUUUAUAGAAGAUGGAAAACGCGGGAAAAUGAAAAUUUCGCGAUUCCAAUUUUUCCUGUGCAUUCCUCUAUGAAUUCUAAGAUAGGUUCUGGCGACAGAAUUCCAGAACUCGAAACAGGUUUCUUGGAAUCUACAUACACUUAAUGGGCUGUUAAAACAGCACUAUUCAUAAGAGAAAUUGCAUCUUGGCCAUUCAUUCUCUUUGAUCCUACGGUUCAUGUUUUUUCUUGAUCAGUUUUUGUUUUGAAUUUUUUUUUUCGUUGGACUCUCUCUCUUUUUGUUCUCCAGCUGUUGUUGUCGGCCCAUUACUUGUACUUGUGUGUAUUUUUUUUAUCUGUUCCAGCUGUUGUCGGCCCAGCUCCACUAUUCACCCAUCAUCUAGGUUUUGCCUUUUGCUUCUGAACGGUUCAAUCAACUGCAUUCCAGCGGCUUUGUGGCAGUGGGUAUGGGUGACGGUUGUACGAACUCGAAGUGGGUGUUUCAGCAAGAGAGAAGAAGGCAGCUUGCGUUUUCAUGAGAACUAUUCAUUCAUCAUCAACCAAAAUUGAAACGGGUUUUUGGCAGAGGGUAUGGUGAGGCUUGUACGAAAUCGGAAGGGAUGGUUCGUGAAGAGAGAUGGAGAUGCUUGGGCUCUGGCGGAAGUACUUGAUGCAGAAGCAGGGAAAGAGGGAGGGAGGUCUGUAUGCAGAGGACUGGAGGAAGCUAGAUGACAAUGUAUGCGAAGGGUGUCCAUGGUAAAUAUGGCAUUGGAGGUGUGUUGAGAAAUCACAAGGGGCAACUACUUGGCUAUUUUUCGAAAGCGGUGGGGGAAUUGUGGGCUCAUGAGGCAGAAUUACAAGCCAUACUUCAUGCUCUAUUGUUUUGCUAGCAGUUUAUAACUCUAGCACAAUUAUCAUUAAGAGUUAUUCUUCAUUAUCUGUGGGUUGAUUCGUGGCUAUGAAGGCUAUUGAAUUGUGAUAUCUUAUGUAGUGUUGUUAUGGUAGCCACUGGGUGAAGUAGCACAAAUGUGGCUGGCAAGGAACCAAUGGAUCAUCCUAAUUCUAGGUUUCAGGUUUAUCAUUCUCUUUUCAUAUUUGAAAUCUUAUUCGGUUAUUUUUUUUGGUUACAUGAAAUCUUCUUCUUUGAAUUUGUGAACCACAAACUAACAAAACAACAAGAAGAAAAAGAAGAAAAUUCCUCCAUAGAUAGAUUUAACAUGAACGCCAAAUGUUUUGACCUAUUAGUGGCUUCCAUUCCUACUUGCGACUAAUAUUAUUAGAGCUUUCUUAAGUAAGUUCAUUUUUUUUAUUAUAUCUAUGUUUCACUUUUUCUUUGAUGCCCCUAUUUUUGAAGUAGGUCAAUUGACAAACCACUAAGACAUAUAAAGAUAGUUUGAAGUCAGUUUUUAGAAGAUUAUGGAUGGAAGAGGGGUGGAAGAAAAGUAACACUGACAGAAGAUGGAAAACAAAAAUGAAAAAUGAAAAAAAGGGUGGGAGAUGGCUUAAUCCUUAACUUUCUUCUUAAUGUUUAUUUCAGUUGUAUUAGAUGUGUCCUGGUGAUUCCUCCAAACCAGAUGCUAGCAUCUCGUCUUAAUCUAUGCAGAGGUUGUAUUGCUCACUGAAAUUUCUGGCAGGGACUAUUUCCUAGAGGUAUUUUUAUUUUAAAAGUUUUUCUUUGUUCUGAUUUCUAUUUGAAAUUUAUGAAGUUUACCCAUGAUGAGCUAGGAUCCACUUUCUUUCAGUUUUUGUUUUAUUCUAAGUUGGGGAAUUGAUUUUGGUUUCACAAUUUUUUUAAGUGAUGUGUGCUUGGGUAGUGCGUGUCUGCUUGAUUUAUAUUGAACCCCUUAUUUUUGUAAAUAUAAUGUUGAUUAACUUUUACAAAUGGUUGGAUUAGUAUAGGUGAAUACAGGGAGGGAACUGUUAUGGACCACAUUUACUAUUCUUUUCAAGUUCCCUAUUGAUUCCUUCAUAAUUUUGGUGUGUAUUUGAAUGAAAAAGUUUUGUUCCCUGAAUUGAAGAAGGCAUGAGACAUUUUACCUUCGACACCACAACUUUUAAUAUUAGCUAACUGGACAAUUAUGGAAUCAAAUUAUAAUGUAGUGACCUGGAAUGUAAGAUUAUUAGCGACAUAUAGCUUCAAAUAUCCACAGAAUCUAAAUGAUUCACUUCCCACAUAAAAUCUAAAUUAUCUUCUUCUUUCGUAGUUUUAAUUUCAUUUUGAUUCUUUGUUUGAUUGAAUGGAUUUUGGUUCUUUCUCGGAGAUUCAAUGUGACCUCGGAUCAUUGAUUUUCGAAAUGGGAUUGGUUUGGUGUGUCUAUGACAGUGGUUUGAUGUGUAAAUGACUCUUUUGUGGUGCAUAUGCCAGUUGUGGAUGUGGUCCUGUUUUGACUUCCAUGAACCUUCCUCUUCUUCUAUAUAAGCCAAAUUUUGAUAUUCUGCACUCUCUUAUCAUGUUCUCAAUCAAUCUUAUAUAUGCCAAGUUUCAUAAUAAUUAUCUUUUUGUAUGAAGACAGUGGUUAAAUAGUUAUUUUCAAUGUAUAUCCACUCUUCUUGCAAGAAGACAAAGGUUUGGUGUGUGUAUAAGACUCUUUGUGGUGCUUGAUAGAGGGUAUCUAUUUAUCAAAUUGGAGCUGUAGGGUGCUCACCAGUUCUUAGUCGAUUCAGUUUCCCUGUUUAUUUUUUGUUUUCUCUGCAUUGUCCUGUCUUUCUAAGUCAAGUACGUGUGAGAGGUACAUGUAUUUCACAGAAAAAACACAGUCCCAAGAUUGAUUUCCAUGUCCAAUUAAUGGUCCUCUAAUUGGGCUUGUGCUGUGUUAAUCCUAUUAGGAGCAUGUGUUGUGGUAGAGAUACUUGGAAACAGUCUGAUGCCUAUCUGGAAGGUUGAAUGUAGGCUAAACUAGCAACAGUCUGAUACCUAUUUAAUUCUAACAUUAAAGAAGUUGAUGCAUAUAGUUAAAAAUGUAAUCGUCUUUACCGCCUUUCUCAAUCUAUUUACCUUUUUUGAUCAAAGAGGUUGUAACUAAAAAAUCAAGGCCAUAGCACCAUUCCUGUUUUCUUUUAUUUGUGUUACAUAUUUCCUAGCAAAUCUUGCUUUCAUAGUUAGGAUGCAUUUUAAGGCCAUAGCAAAUCUCUACUAUUUAAUUCUUUCUAUUUUCUCUUUGAUCAUGCAUGCAUUGUAAUUUUAAAAUUAGGAUGAAAUUGAAGUGGUUUUAGUUAUAAUCUGACUAUUUGAGUUAGUUGCAGUAUUAAGGACUAAUGUUGUUUCAAUUCAAAGAAUUGACAAAUUGAUGUGUGUUUAGGUUGGGACAAAAUCUAUAUGAUCAGACACCAUGUGGACAUGCAUUUCAUGGGUCCUGUAUCCGAACAUGUUAGGCUGUUAGUCUCAUAAUGUUAUAGUAGUAAGCAAAAUGAAGUUUUUUCUAUUGAUAUAUACUAACAAUGGGUGAAAAUUGAUCAGCAGGUACCUUCUGAGUCAUCUUUAUUUUCUUAUUUAUAUGAGGAGCAAACAGAAAUGGCAUCAGCACAAUAGAGAAUGGGUCAUGCAUCCUAACAUGUUAGGAUGUUAGUCUCAUAAUGUUAUAGUAGUAAGCAAAAUGAAGUUUUUCUAUUGAUAUAUACUAACAAUGGGUGAAAAUUGAUCUGUCGGAGCUGAGAAAUCUCAGUUCCUUUCUCAUUUUCUUAUAUUCCUUAUUUUGCUUUCAUCUUCUGUAAGUAAUUUUAAAAACGAACACGUACUAAGGUAUCAAUGGUUAUUGAUUUAUGUUUUUUUAUUGAUAGUACAAACUCUGCCAAUUGUUUAUCAUAAAAGCUUGCCCUUAGUGUUGGUUGUUGUGGAACACUGUCAAGUCUUUUCAUGAUCUUAAAAGAGUUUCAAAUAUUCAUGGAUGUUAAUUAAUUACUUAUUUACUUGAUUUGUUUAAUGUUCAUACCAUUAUGCGUUAAUCAUGUAUUUUUUAUGAGCUUCUUCUAAGAUAACUUCUGAUGAUGACACCGCUUUAAGUGGGUGGAGUUAUAUUAGGUGCGGGUUACAAGUUGUGUGGACACCAGCACAAUUUCAGAAUGAUUUUUCUUCAAGUGGUAGAAUACCAAAUCUCUAUAUCCUUAAGUGUUUCUUUCAUUGGAAGCUAACUUUUGGCUCUAGAUGGCUCUAGAUGGUGCUUAUUGGGAUUAUGGUCAUGUUGGGUAAAUGAUCAUGGCAUCACCACAUAUACCACGCGCUUCAUGAUUUCCUUUAAAAUAAUUUACACCUACUUGCUUAAUCAUUAUGAAGGUUUUCCCCUUUUUUCUGUCUUUUACCUUUAUUCUUUUGGCUCUGAUAUGUAUGGUUGUGCUUGAUCAUGUGCUAACUUUGACUAACACCUUGGAAGUAUUGUUUUUUUAUAAAGGUUUUACACUUUCACUUCUUCUAUGUCCUUUUUGAUAUUUUAACUGGAACCAUAACCGCAUCCUUUUCUUUCCCAAAGGAUUUUAUUGUUGUUGGCAUUGCUAGAAGUAGAACUUUUCCCAAAGAUUUUCCUCAGGAUAUUGAAUAUGACAACUGUCUUGCACUCCAACUUGAGUGGUCAAGUUUGAAUUUGGGCACACCUGCUUCAAGCAUUCAACCAACUAAAUUGAAGCUUUCUCUACCAUUAAGGAAAGAGUCAUAUUUGUUUCUUAUUGUUGACUACUAUUUUCCCCUAAUGAGCUAGCUAUAUGUCAGUGUUGUUAUUGAGGUUUCCAUAACCCUGCUUCUUCUGUCAUGUGUAUUCUUUUUGUUAUGCUCCUGUGCCUAUGUUAGUUGCUUCUCAUAUUAAUUCUAAAUUUGGUUUUUGUUUAGUUUGUGAAUUAUUAUUUGUUGGCUCACUGCAUCUCCUUUUGCGUUCCUUUCUGUUUUUGUUUCUAUUUUGGUUUCAUUACAGAUAAUUGUUGAGUUAAUUUUCUUUAUAUGACCAAUUUUGGUGCUUAAAUUUGUAGGAUAUUUCUUGCUGCUUCAGGUAUAAGAUAUUGACACUUGCUCAUGUAAUUUUAUCUUCGAAUCUUUACUAUAUAUUAUCUCAUCAUGUUUCCACUACUAUAAACCUUUUGAAUUUGUUUAGUUUUCCUCCAUAGUAUAUAUACCUAUAUCUCGUGUGUAGAAUGAAUAAGUGAAUAUAUGGGGAUGGGACGAGAAGCACGGUAAUGAAUUCAUAGGUGGUUUGGCUAAGGUCUCGGUGCUGCCAUGGUUACCUCAAAUGCUGGAAGGGCACUUCUUGAAGCACAUGAUCAAGGGAACUAUGAAGUGAUUGGAGAGGGAGAUCGAGGAGGAUAUCAAGAAGAUGCUUCUGAUUAAUUAUGUUUUGGAGUUCAUAUAGCUCUACUAAAGAUUCAGAUACAUACUUUCUCAGAGAACUGAUGGGUUGCAGCCCUGUGAAUUGAUAGAAUUGAAGCCUGAAAAGUUAUAUCCAAUAUGUGAUUAGGGAGGAGUGUAAGAAGGCUUUUGACGUGGACGAACGAGGAGAAAACUGUUGUAUAUGAUGACCAAUGUCAAAGCAAUAUAUCAAGACCGAAGUCACAAUUGUGGGUUGCAACUUGCAACUGCUAAAUAACCAGCUACUUUGUUAAAGUGGCGUUGAACAUUAUGGAACAUUAAAAAUUCAAUGUAAUAUCUUUUUA
Long non-coding RNA from Lotus japonicus, 12469 nucleotides. RefSeq lists it as uncharacterized. The record is from RefSeq and is a predicted model, not a curated record. Lineage: Eukaryota; Viridiplantae; Streptophyta; Magnoliopsida; Fabales; Fabaceae. The transcript has 6 exons.